UACGUAGGCAGCAAGCGUUGUUCGGAGUUACUGGGCGUAAAGGGUGCGUAGGCGGCCCUGUAAGUCUGGUGUGAAAUCUCCCGGCUUAACUGGGAGGGUGCAGCGGAAACUAGAAUGCUAGAGGGUGGGAGAGGUAAGCGGAAUUCCUGGUGUAGCGGUGAAAUGCGUAGAUAUCAGGAGGAACACCUGUGGUGUAGACAGCUUACUGGACCACUUCUGACGCUGAGACACGAAAGCGUGGGUAGCAAACAGG
This 253-nucleotide ribosomal RNA is filed under the name uncultured bacterium. Its description in RNAcentral is "partial 16S ribosomal RNA". It matches the Rfam family "Bacterial small subunit ribosomal RNA", at positions 524 to 776 of the family's 1533-position model. The record is from RNAcentral.